UACGUAGGGUGCGAGCGUUGUCCGGAAUUAUUGGGCGUAAAGGGCUCGUAGGCGGUUUGUCGCGUCGGGAGUGAAAUCCACUGGCUUAACUGGUGGCUUGCUUUCGAUACGGGCAGACUGGAGGUAUGCAGGGGAGAACGGAAUUCCUGGUGUAGCGGUGAAAUGCGCAGAUAUCAGGAGGAACACCGGUGGCGAAGGCGGUUCUCUGGGCCGAUAUUGACGCUGAGGAGCGAAAGCGUGGGGAGCGAACAGG
Molecule: ribosomal RNA, 253 nt
Filed under: uncultured bacterium
Lineage: Bacteria
Description: partial 16S ribosomal RNA
Rfam family: Bacterial small subunit ribosomal RNA
Source: RNAcentral